AGAACCUUCGAUUGAGGUGUAGAAGUGUGUCUCCACCUGGCUCUCUUUUUUUUCCGUGUCAUUUAGUUCUUCUAGUCUUCUGGAUUCACAUUCAAAGCACAUAUCUUGGUCGUCUUACAGACAAUAAGAAUGAUGAUGCACAAGGGUUAAAGCCUUCAAGGGUAUAUAAGACACAACAUUAGAAGAAGAAAAAAAAACAAAUUGUGAUUCAGUAACACUUGUGUAAACCUGUUUUAUUUAAUCCAUCGUAAAAAAUGUCCCAAGACUAUCAGAAAGAAAAAUUGAUCUAUGCAUAGUAAUCCUCUAAAUAUAUAAAGUUUACAUAUGAUUGGGAUCCUGUUGUGCAACCUAGUUCUCUUUACUAAUAUCUCUCAUUUCUUCCAAA
Camelina sativa (false flax) is the source of this 385-nucleotide long non-coding RNA. RefSeq lists it as uncharacterized. NCBI's taxonomy places the organism in Eukaryota, Viridiplantae, Streptophyta, Magnoliopsida, Brassicales, Brassicaceae. The record is from RefSeq and is a predicted model, not a curated record.